AGUGAACGCUGGCGGCAGGCCUAACACAUGCAAGUCGAACGGCCGCACAGUAAGAUCUUGCCUUUACCGGUGGCGACUGGCGGGUGGGUGAGGCAUACAUCAGCUUCCUCUUUUACUUGGGUGACUUCGGAGGACAACUUAUGCUACUACCUCAUAUGUCCUACGGCUGAAAUCAAUAGUUCAACGGACCUUUGCUGUCUCUUAUAGCCGACGUCGGAUUAGCUAGUUGGCUGGGUAAAGGCCCACCAAGGCAACGAUCCGUAGCUGGUCUGAGAGGAUGAUCGGCCACACUGGAACUGAGACACGGUCCAGACUCCUACGGGAGGCAGCAGUAGGGAAUAUUGGACAAUGGGCGAAAGCCUGACGCAGCAACACCGCGUGAGUGAAGAAGGCCUUCGGAUUGUAAAACCCUUUUAUUAGGGAAGAAAAAAAGCGGAUGUAACCCCCGCUGUUCUGACGGUACCCAAAGAGAAAGCACCGGCUAACUUCGUG
RNAcentral lists this ribosomal RNA (492 nucleotides) under uncultured bacterium. RNAcentral describes it as "partial 16S ribosomal RNA". It matches the Rfam family "Bacterial small subunit ribosomal RNA", at positions 29 to 507 of the family's 1533-position model. The record is from RNAcentral.